CGGGGAGUGGCGCAGCCCGGUAGCGCAACGGUCUGGGGGACCGGAGGUCGCGUGUUCGAAUCACGUCUCCCCGA
This 74-nucleotide transfer RNA is filed under the name Paludibacteraceae bacterium. RNAcentral describes it as "tRNA-Pro". It matches the Rfam family "tRNA". Rfam says of the family: Transfer RNA (tRNA) molecules are approximately 80 nucleotides in length. Their secondary structure includes four short double-helical elements and three loops (D, anti-codon, and T loops). Lineage: Bacteria; Pseudomonadati; Bacteroidota; Bacteroidia; Bacteroidales; Paludibacteraceae. The record is from RNAcentral. RNAcentral also lists the same sequence under 1 other name.